UCGGUGCUAGCCUUAUUUCCCAUAGAGUAUUCAAUCAUAUAUGUACUUAGAGAGGGCUCAUUUUCAAUUUCAACCAACUCAUAGUACCUCUUCCCUAGAAUGUCUCCAUUUCUUAGUCAUAUCCAAUCAAGCUUCAUAAAUAUAGCUCAUUUAACUUUCUUAGAUAAGGAAUCUCUUGCCGUUCCGGCUCCAUCCAUCUCUAAGCCUAUCAUUUUUCUCAAGAAGUGAACUUCGCCCUAAGGCCCAUCCUUCAAGGUUAUUCAUUUAUUAGGAAAGCANNNNNNNNNNNNNNNNNNNNNNNNNNNNNNNNNNNNNNNNNNNNNNNNNNNNNNNNNNNNNNNNNNNNNNNNNNNNNNNNNNNNNNNNNNNNNNNNNNNNNNNNNNNNNNNCCGAUUCAAGUCUUGGCCUAGAAUUCCUCUUUUAGCAUUUAUAAAAAGGGUACCAUAUCUUAGUUCUAGCCCACUUCACAUAUUCGUGCAUUCAAGACUUCAAGUGACAAGAAGAGACAAUUUAGUCUACUAACCAAGUCACAACAUUAUCAUUUGAGGAUACUUUAUAAUCCAACAUCAUCACAUAUAUACCUCAUGAGAAUUCAUACUUUAGAUCACAAUGCUAUCCAUUUUACAUUGGAUCAUCACAACUCUUCAAUUCCCUAAACCUCUUGUAAUGAGAACAUCUUUCAAACCUAACUCAUAACUACCAAAGAUUCUCAAAAAGCCUUACCAUAAAGACAUAACAUCCCUCACUUAGAAGGAACUGAUACUGACUCUUUCAAUUUCAUCUUUUCCACCCUAUGGUAGGAUCACCACAACACUAAACUUCCAUACUCAUCACACCUAUGCCCCUUAAAAGACCACACUUCAUUAUCUCUUUCAAUGUACUUCAACAUCAACAUAUCUAAGUCGGAUUCUACCAAUAACACACAAAACCAUAAAGCAACUCAUCCAACCAAGAGUCAUCAUCACAACACUCACACCAUCUUCAUCAAGUCACAAAGCCAUAGUUGGCAUCACAACCAACCUAUUCCUCUCCCUCAACCCCUACGACAACAACAUCUCAAAGGUCACACUGUAAGGACCAUCACGUAUGGAACAGAGGAAGACAUUAUAGAGAGAAACUCCAUGGCACGACUAAAAGAAUGAAGAAGUGAAACUUUCUUAGCACCCAAUAGCCUCGUAUUAAUAAUGUGGUGCGCUUUACAUUAUGAACAAGACUUUACUAGAUGUGGUUUGAGACAACAUAAGACCAUUUCAAAACCUUAUGCUCUGAUACCAAGUUCGUCACAACCCGGGAGCACCCCCAAGUCGCGACACGGCGUACUAUACCUCUCGGAGGUCUAAUACAAGCCUCUUAGCAUUCAUUCAUCGCAUAGACACUAAAAACCAUCACGAAUUUAAAACUUUCUUCACACACGAAGAAUAAUUUCAUAAAUAAGCAAGCGGAAGAUUUUUAAAACAUCUAACCUUUACAAUAUAUAUGUCUCAUAAACCAUCUAAUACUUUGGAGUACAACAUAGGGACUAAGCCCAUACAAGACUUAAAGAAAAUGCUAGAAAUACAUCAAAAGGAACAUGUAGGGUAUUGUCCUCGAAUCUAUAAGGACUCACCAAGUCCUCAUCUUCAACACUUAGAAACCUAUAAAGUAGCCAUGACAUGUCACCAUCUCCAAAUCGCUACAAUUUAAUCAAAAAGGGAAAGAAAGUGGUUAGCACAAUUAGUACUAAGUAUGGAGACUAUGUAAAAACAUGCACAAUGGACAUUUACAAGGAAUGUAUGCUUUCAUAUCAUUUUGAUAAAACCUACACUUCACAAGUAUAAGAGACAUAAUACAAUUCAGCAUUCACAUAUAAGACUAUAUAUAGCCAACCAUACACCUACUCAACAUAUAUCCAUAUACAACCCAAAUGCUUAACUUUAAGAGAACACAUACAAUUUCAUUACCAUAAGACUUCUACCUAAUAUAACCUUAAGACACACUUGAGUGGGACAAGAAGUGACCGCCCAUACAACCUCUUCAAGCACACUUAAGUGUUCCCCAAGAUUACCUUAGAUAAGGAGACUUAUACAUAAUAGUAGUUAGACUUAGGGAACUCACUUUAGUAUCUUCUAGGCCUACUCGUGCCAUGUAUACGUAGCAUCCCAUACUACUACCUACACUUUAUAUAACCUAUCCAAUACUAAAGUGCACAUCCCAUUUGGUGGGAUUAGGCAUAACCGACAUAGACCAUACUAGCUAGGCAUGGAAUCCGGAGUCUAUCCUACUCCGUGCAGAUUGUUCUACUUGCCAAGGGUAGAACUAGGACACAUCCCAUGUAGGCACAUGGUUUAGGGGAUGUCCAAGAAAGUUCAUUGUGCCCUAGUCUCAUAACCACAUCCACUCGGUGCUAGCCUUGUUUCCCAUAGAGUAUUCAAUCACAUAUGUACUUAGAGAAGGUUCCUUUUCUAGUUCAACCAACUCAUAGUACCUCUUCCCAAGAAAGACGGUUAUACAUUUAUUUAGGAAAGCUAGACUUAUGAAAGGGCACCAUUUCUUAGUUUUGCCGAUUCAAGUCUUGGCCUAGAAUUCCUCUUUUAGCAUUUAUAGAAAGGGCACCAUUUCUUAGUUCUAGCUCAUUUCACACAUUCAUGCAUUCAAGACUUUAAGUAACAAGGAGGGACACUUUAGUCUACCAACCAAGUCACAACAUUUUCAUUUAAGGAUACUUCAUAAUCCAACAUCAUUUCAUAUAUACAUCAUGAGAAAUCAUACUUUAACUCACAAUGCUAUCCAUUUUACAUAGGAUCAUCACAAGAUCACGUAAAGUCAAUCUCAUCACAUCUUCACAUUUAGCUUCACAUAAAAAUUUACAUAUAGCUUCAUAUAGGACUUUACAUAUAGCCUCAUUUAUAUAUAUAAUAACACAACAAUACAACAAUACUCAUAUAAUGCCCUUUAUGGCCACAAUCAUAAUUCUAGAGCAACAAGAAACACUUCCACGAAAGGUGAAUCCAACCUAAGAAACAAUUAUAGCAAUAUUAAGAGAUCAAGUCAUCUUACCACCUUUCAAAGGCCAUAAGCCACAAUACUCUAUUCCAUGCCAAUUAUACAAUAUUCAUCAAGUUAGGUCAACUUUACCUCUUUCCAUAGCUAUCUUCAUCAUCCUCAUAUUCCAACAAUUAACAAUACAAUAACAAUGAUAUUAAAAACGUUCAACUACACAAGCUAAGCUAAACUAUAUCCAAUAACCAACAUAAAGGCUAAAUCCCAAUUUAUGACCAUUCUAGGAUACUACCUCACAUUAUACAAUUUAAUAACAAUUUCCAACAAUUCAACAUAGCUAAGAGCAUAUAAGAGCAGCCCACAUCAAACAACUCUAUAAUCCUUCAUCAAUUACUCAAAAUCAAUAGACCCACUUUAGGCCAAAUUUUGAGAAUUUAAGAAGACAUGGGUUCAAGAAGAUUUAUUUCUUAAAACCACCAAUAAUCAUUAAUAACAACCUAAAACAUCAUUUAAAAUCAAUUAAUGCAAGAAUCCAUGCUAGAAUUGAAAUUAGGUUUGUUUUUGAGUUUUUGAACAACUUUUGAAAUCUUUUGAAUUGACUCAUUGAUUGAAGAAGAAAUCAAAGAUGAAGUGUCCACAUACCUUAAUAUUCAAGAACCAAAUGAAAUUGAAGAAGAAACACCAUGAAAUCGUCAACCCUAGCUUUACUUGAACAUGACCUCCAAAGGAGUUUCUAGAGAGAAGACUUUGGGAGAGAAAGGAAAUAAGGUUUUGAUUUGGGGUCUAAAGAGAGUAAAUGACUUGUUAAAAAGACAUAAAACCCUAUAUAUUUAUCAAAUAAGUUAUUUAAAAUCAACCCCACAUAAUAAAACAUUAAAACGGAAUUACCAAAAACCCCUCAACUUGAGGCAGCCCGUAAGGGACCACGCCCAGCUAAACGGGUCGUGAGGGGCACUCCGGCUCGUGGUGGUGCCCGUGGUACCUGGACCAGUGAGCCUCUCCACCAUGUCAAGUCCUCAAGGGCCCAAGGCAUCUUCACGGGAGCUCCCACAAUCCGUGGUGCAAACCACGAAUCGUGGCGGAGCUCGUGAAGAUGAUGCAGCACCAAGGUAAAGUUCCCUUGCCUCCCUUGAGACCAAGUGAUCUUCACGCCCAAGUAUACGGACCGUCUAGGGCACCACUUGUCGCGGUGGUGCCCGUGGUCAUUGGGACAGUGAGCAGCCAACUUGGGACAGCCUUGGCUUUUUGGCUAAGGCUUGCCCUUUUUGGCUUGGCUCCUUGUCUAGCACCCUCAACCAACCUAGAGUAGGUCUCAUAACAUAGAAUCUAACACGUGCCUUGACGUUGACUCCUAAAACUCUUCAAACUACGCCUUAAAAGCCAAAACUUAUCAUUUAAACAAGAUAACCUCUACAAAAACACAUGAGAGGCUCUAGUUCUUCCUAUUUCAUUUUUAGGGUCGUUAUAUUAUCCACCACUUGGGAACAUUCGUCCUCGAAUGCUACUUAAACACUUUUCAAGGAAAACGACCAAAGUAAACAGCCCAUACUCAUGCAUACCAUAAUAUAAACCAUACACAUAAUAAGGAAGAACAUCACUCCAUAUCAAAGUCCCACAAUAACUUCAUGCAAUUCGAGAAACUAGGGACAACAUCUACUAACUCCUUAUGCAUCAUCUUUACCCUUUUCUCACGCUAUUGGAGGAACUUCCAUCUCCAAUUCACAUCAUGCUCAUUCAAACAUCAUCAAGCACAUCAUGCAAAUUUCUCAUUAAUGCACAAUUAUGCAACAUUUAUCUUAAGGCACAUUUAUGCAAUUCUCUCCUAAAGGCUCCAUAUGCAACUUCUCAAUAACACAUAAGGCAUGCUAACCAAGUCAACUCAUGCAGCAUUUAGGAAAAUCAUUACAUAUGCACAUCAACAUUAGGAACAUAACUUUAUGAAAACUCAUUUUCCCACUUUAACAAGAAUUCAUUUAAAUCAUGCCUAAUAUAAGGAGAUCGUGGAAAAAUCUUCUUUUUUUUUCACCUAAGACUCCAAGACAUGCUACAAGCUUCUAGGAACUUUUUGUUUUAGGCUUGAAUAGUCACAUAAUAAAAAGGUAAGGAUAUCAACACUCCUCAACCCCCUCACUACUCAACAUACCAUCCCCCACUUAAGGGUAAACCAAGUUAAGGACAACAUGGACAUGCCAUAAGAAUCUCAAGGGAAAGACCAUCAAUCUUACCAAAAACCAUUCUCACCCAACUCUUCAAUUCCCUAAACCUCUUGUAAUGAGAACAUCUUUCAAACCUAACUCAUGACUACCAAAGAUUCUCAAAAAGCCUUACCAUAAAGACACAACAUCCCCCACUUAGAAGGAACUGAUACCGACUCUUUCAAUUUCAUCUCUUCCACCGUAUGGUAGGAUCACCACAACACUAAACUUCCAUACUCAUCACACAUAUGCCCCUUAAAACACCGCACUCCAUCAUCUCUUUCAACAUACCUCAACAUCAACAUAUCUAAGUCGGAUUCUACCAAUAACACACAAAACCAUAAAGCAACUCAUCCAACCUAGAGUCAUCAUCACAAACUCUCACACCAUCUUCACUAAGUCAGAAAGCCAUAGUUGGCAUCACAACCAACCUAUUCCUCUCCCUCAACCCCUGUAACAACAACAUCUCACAGGUCACACUUUAAGGACCAUCACAUAGGGAACAAAGGAAGAAAUUAUAGAGAGAAACUCCAUGGCACGACUAAGAGAAUGAAGAAGUGAAACUUUCUUAGCACCCAAUAGCCUCCUAUUCAUAAUGUGGUGCGCUUCACAUUAUGAACAAGACAAUACUAGAUGUGGUUUGAGACAACCUAAGACUAUUUCAACACCUUAUGCUCUGAUACCAAGUUUGUCACGACCCAGGAGCAACCCCAAGUCACGACACGGCGUACUCGACCUCUCGGAGGUUUAAUACAAGCCUCUUAGGAUUCAUUCAUCGCAUAGACACUAAAAUCCAUUAGGAAUUUAAAACUUUCUUCACACACAAAGAAUACUUUCAUUAAUAAGCAAGCGGAAGACUUUUAAAACAUCUAAUCUUUACAAUAUAUAUGUCUCAUAUACCAUCUAAUACUUUGGAGUACAACAUAGGGACUAAGCCCAUACAAGACUUAAAGAAAAUGCUAGAAAUACAUCAAAAGGAACAUGUAGGGUAUUGUCCUCGUAUCUAUAUGGACUCACCAAGUCCUCAUCUUCAACACUUAAAAACCUAUCAAGUAGCCAUGACAUGUCACCAUCUCCAAAUCGCUACACUUUAGUCAAAAAGGGAAAAUAAAAGUUUAGCACAAUUAGUACUAAGUAUGGAGACCAUGCAAAAAUAUGCACAAUGGACAUUUACAAGGAGUGUAUGCUUUCAUAUCAUUUUGAUAAAACCUACACUUCACAAGUAUAAGAGACACAAUAGAAUUCAACAUUCACAUAUAAGACUAUAUAUAGCCAACCAUACACCUACUCAACAUAUAUCCAUAUACAACCCAAAUGCUUAACUUUAAGAGAACACUUGCCAUUUCAUUACCAUAGGACCUCUACCUAAUAUAAUCUUAAGACACACUUGAGUAAGACAAGAAGUGACUGCCCAUACAACCUCUUCAAGCACACUUAAGUGUUCCCCAAGAUUACCCUAGAUAAGGACAUUUCUUUUACAACAUAACAUUGAUAGACAGACAUUCUUUUAAGAAACCAUUUAGAAGAGAUACAAGCACAUUAGGGGACCUUCACAUAAUAGUCGUUAGACUUAGGGAACUCACUUUAGUAUCUUCAAAGCCUACUCGUGCCAUGUGUAGAUAGCAUCCCAUACUACUACCUACACUUUGUAGAACCUAUCAAGAAACCAUAAUGAAAUCUCACAUGAUGGGAAGUAAGCAUUUAACCGACAUAGACCAUGAGAGCUUGUCAUGGAAUCCGGUGUCAUGAGUCCCCACACCGAAAAGAGGUGGUCUACUUGCCUAAGGAAGACCGGUAUAUAUAGCUUAAUGGAUCCACUAGCUUCCUAUGCGGGCACAUAGUUUAUGGGAUAGUUCAACCAACUCAUAGUACCUCUUCCCAAGAAAGGCCCCAUUUCUUAGUCAUAGUCAAUCAAGGUUCAUAAGGAUAGCUCAUUUAACUUUCUUAGAUAAGGAUUCUCAUGCCGUUCCGGCUCCAUCCAUCUCUAAGUCUAUUAUUUCACUCAAGAAGGGAACAU
RNAcentral lists this long non-coding RNA (7191 nucleotides) under Solanum tuberosum (potato). RNAcentral describes it as "long non-coding RNA (STUB_LNC006310)". Lineage: Eukaryota; Viridiplantae; Streptophyta; Magnoliopsida; Solanales; Solanaceae. The record is from RNAcentral.